GCAGACGUGGCAGAACGGGUAAUGCGGCAGUCUUGAAAAUUGCUGGUCGGAAACGGCCUGUGGGUUCAAAUCCUACCGUCUGCG
This 84-nucleotide transfer RNA is filed under the name Lachnospiraceae bacterium. RNAcentral describes it as "tRNA-Ser". It matches the Rfam family "tRNA". Rfam says of the family: Transfer RNA (tRNA) molecules are approximately 80 nucleotides in length. The record is from RNAcentral. RNAcentral also lists the same sequence under 1 other name. Lineage: Bacteria; Bacillati; Bacillota; Clostridia; Lachnospirales; Lachnospiraceae.